CAUGGGUGAAGUUAUUUUCAUUGUAAAUAUCCGAUUGAAAUACAAGACACAUCACUAUCAAAGGAAAAUUAACAGCUUAAAAUGCUGGAACAGAAGAUUUGGCUGCGGGGAUUAGUCGCAGCAGUUACGUUGGUCCUGGUAGGACAUGCGCAAUGGAUUGACUCCUCUCGACAAUCAAACUCACUUUCGAUACAAGACAUACGACUUAUUGGUGAUGCGAACAGAACCGAAGGUAGAGUUGAAAUAAAAGUGUUCGAUACCUGGGGUACAAUAUGCGAUGACAAUGUUGGACUGGAAGAAGCCAGUGCUUUAUGUCGUAUGAUGGG
Molecule: long non-coding RNA, 326 nt
Organism: Dreissena polymorpha
Lineage: Eukaryota; Metazoa; Mollusca; Bivalvia; Myida; Dreissenidae
Exons: 4
Source: RefSeq, a predicted model, not a curated record